GAUGAACGCUGGCGGCGUGCCUAAUACAUGCAAGUCGAGCGAACAGACGAGGAGCUUGCUCCUCUGACGUUAGCGGCGGACGGGUGAGUAACACGUGGAUAACCUACCUAUAAGACUGGGAUAACUUCGGGAAACCGGAGCUAAUACCGGAUAAUAUAUUGAACCGCAUGGUUCAAUAGUGAAAGACGGUUUUGCUGUCACUUAUAGAUGGAUCCGCGCCGCAUUAGCUAGUUGGUAAGGUAACGGCUUACCAAGGCAACGAUGCGUAGCCGACCUGAGAGGGUGAUCGGCCACACUGGAACUGAGACACGGUCCAGACUCCUACGGGAGGCAGCAGUAGGGAAUCUUCCGCAAUGGGCGAAAGCCUGACGGAGCAACGCCGCGUGAGUGAUGAAGGUCUUCGGAUCGUAAAACUCUGUUAUUAGGGAAGAACAAAUGUGUAAGUAACUAUGCACGUCUUGACGGUACCUAAGCAGAAAGCCACGGCUAAAUACGU
Molecule: ribosomal RNA, 496 nt
Filed under: uncultured bacterium
Lineage: Bacteria
Description: partial 16S ribosomal RNA
Rfam family: Bacterial small subunit ribosomal RNA
Source: RNAcentral